Molecule: non-coding RNA, 303 nt
Organism: Cavia porcellus (domestic guinea pig)
Lineage: Eukaryota; Metazoa; Chordata; Mammalia; Rodentia; Caviidae
Rfam family: 7SK RNA
About the family: 7SK was discovered as an abundant small nuclear RNA in the mid-70s but a possible function has only recently been suggested. Two independent studies have found that 7SK RNA binds the CDK9/cyclin T complex (known as elongation factor P-TEFb).
Source: Rfam
GGAUGUGAGGCUAAUAUGGCUGUAACAUCUAUCACUCCAUCAUUCACCAAGGUUGAUUAGCCUGGCUACCUGAGUGUCUCUAUUUCCCUCAAUGCUCUAUGCCAGGCCCUCCCAAAGCUGCAUGCUCCAAGAAGCUGAACAUCCUCAAGAGAAGAGGACUAUUUGCUCUGUCAAGGGUAUACGAGUAGCUGUGUGCCCCUGCUGGAACCUCCAAACAAGCUAUCAAGGAUACUACUGUUAUUAUGCAAAUAUUUUAGAAUACAUCUCUAAAAGACAGGCAUUUGUGACUUUUUUUUUUUUUUU